RNAcentral lists this long non-coding RNA (2755 nucleotides) under Homo sapiens (human). Its description in RNAcentral is "HSALNT0293879". Lineage: Eukaryota; Metazoa; Chordata; Mammalia; Primates; Hominidae. The record is from RNAcentral.
CGCCCGUUCGCGCUGCCAGCAGCUUCCGCCUGCUACGGUCCUGGCAAGCACCUCGGGAUCCCAUUCCUUCACAGGGACCCUAGCCAGGCAAGCGCGCGCCUCACUGUACCGGAGAGCUCCAAGCACGCGCUUGGUCUGGGGCCCGGACGCUACAUCUGGGAAGGGGUGGGUGGCUGGGUAGAUAGGCGAGGAAGGAUCGUCUCUACCCUCUCUCAAGUAGCUGAGGCCUCCGAAACCUUCCCUAGCUGGAUUUGGGGACAGAGGAGCGCUGUUAAAGCUGAUACAUUCCUGUGGGUCAACUAUGCAACUAACUCAGAUUUUGAGCAAACAAAGCUCUCAAGUUGGUGAUCCUCAGGAGUCUCUGCAUUAGUUGGACAGCUCUUCUGGAAUUAUCUUCUAAGUCAACUGUGGGUUGGGUAGGUGGCUCUGCUGAUUUUUCGCUGGACUUCCACAUUUGGGACGAGUUGGCUGUCAUCAGCUCUAGAAAGGGUGUGGCCGUUUUACAUUGGCUGUUUUCCUCACAUUCCUCAAGCAGGUACUGUAAUAAAGAACUGGAGAAAUACAGUCAGAUGGGAAGUAGCCCUUGCUGUCAAGGAGCUUGCCAUCUAAUGGGGGAGACAGGCAAGUAAACCAAAGACUACACAGUGCAGUAUGGUAAGUGCCAUGAUUUUGAUGUGACAGGGCACAGUGGACGACCUUCCAAAUCAAAGCAAGUAACUAGGGGUUGACAAUGGUAAGUAUCAUAGUUGAAGUAUCCUUGAACAAGGUUUCAGGAAGAAGAAGAAGGGAAUUUCAUGCAGGGAAACAGCCAAAGCUCAGUGAGUCAAAAUAUCACAGCAUUCUUGGUAAGCCCAAUUGUUUUUUCUGUUUUGCUAUUUUGGUGGAGAGAAAGGAACACAUAAAGGAAUAACAUGAGAGAAGGCUAUUUGGGGAAGUGUAGUAGUUAAGGUUCUGGCUCAAACAACAACUGCAGCUCAUAAAGUUGACUUUAGUGGAAGGAUACUGGGGUAUCUCAUGGAAUCUUGGGAACUGUUGAAUAACCAGGGAAACUCUGGGAAACUCACUGGUAGGAAUCCAUAAACUGUCCUCCUGGUGGGCUGUAAACAACUCACCCUCUAUGCAUCUCACAUCAAAAUUCCAGUUUCUUGGGAAAACAAGUCUGUUUGCCCAAUUUGGGUCAUAUUUCCACGUCCAUGUUACUCAGGCAUGAUUCAUCUGCAAGUUAUGUGUAUAGAUAUUUUGCUACUGUUCCACCCUUACGCUGUGCUGGGGAGGGAGGUGUCACUGUGAGCUGUGUCGGUGCCUUAAGAGAUAUCUGUUGUGUCUUAUUACUUGGUUGCUUUUCCCCACAUGUACAAUGACAAAAAUGCCUUCAACCUAUUUGAUCCAGCCGUUCCAGUACAACUCCUAUACUUGCCAUCUUUCCAAGCCCAAAGGUACAUCCAGCUGAUGGAAGGAGCAUCUUGGUGUUAAUAUUCUUUUAGUCAUGGUCUCUGAAAGUAAAAUGUCUAUUCUUCUAAUUCUGGCACAAUCUUAUCUAGCUAUAGUUCCUCAUGGUCCUGCACUCCAUGGACUAAAUUAUGAUGAAACUGAAACACAAAAAAUUUAGAUUAACUCUUAGGUGACAAAGCCAGGAUUGAAGCUCAUGCGGUCUGGCUCCAGAACAACUCUUCUUCAUAGUUACGUUAUACUGCCCCUGCAUUGUUGGUAUUGAAACUGAGAAAAAAGCUGUGGCCCAAAAGUUUCUCCCCUGAGAGGGACAGGAUCAGAUUGUCUUUUCAAGAGUUCCCAUGUGCAAUACAGAGCUGAAGUUGAAGCUGAAAGGAUUCAUAGAGAAAGGCCAGUAUAAAUCUUCAGCAUACCAAAGUUAUGAGAAAGGAGAAAGCUUGCAAUGCAUGUAUAGAGGAGGUGCUGAGGAGUUGGUGGUAGCAGCAGACAAGGGAGGAGAAAUGGAUAGAAUCAUGGUUAUUGUCAAGGUGGAGGAUCCGUGAACUGCAACUGAAGAGGGCUAGUGACAUGACCCAGUUCUUAGGGCUGUCUCUAUUCCUGAAUAUUUACUUAAUAUAAGGCAAUUCUUAUAUAGCAUUAGGGUAAAAAAAAAAAAAAAAGGAUUCGAAGUUUCCGAGAGACUUCUGUUUCAGCCAUAACAGAAUAGUGAAUUUACCUUCCCCCAGUAAAUAGCCAUAAAAUUAAAUAAAGUAAAUAAAACCAACUGUUUUCAGACAUUGGACAAUAGAAAGCACAGAACUCUAUGAUCCUUGAGAGAAGGGGAACAAAGAAGGUGUUAAUCACAAAGCAAUUUAAUUUACAUAAGCAAGGAAUAUAUUAAACAUCUAUUUAGAAAUCAUUUGCAUGAAUGUUCAAUAUUCACUUUAUUUCCAGAGUCAUCCAUAUGUAAUCUGGAUUACUUAGAGGCUGUCACGUUAGCCAACAUUAAUGUAUAAUGAAAGCGCAUCAGUUUAAUAUAAGCAUCCACAAGUGACCAUAUGGGAGAAGCAGUUAACAUUGAGCUUGCUGCAAUACUAAGGGAGUUACUUUUAUAAAAAUUAGGCUAUAAAAAAAAAUUAGGCUGUAGUCUCCAUAAUGUAUUAUACAACUAAUUUAACUCUGGAAAUCUACCUAUAAUCCUACAAAAUAUUUGCAGAUAAUCAACUGCAAGUUCAGACUUGGAAAUAAACAAAAGAACUACCCACUGUUUGCUUAAAUCCGCUUAGGUCAGCAAUAUACCUGAAAUUCAGUAGCUUGCUGUCAGUUA